GACGAACGCUGACGGCGUGCUUAACACAUGCAAGUCGAGCGGUAAGGCCCUUUCGGGGGUACACGAGCGGCGAACGGGUGAGUAACACGUGGGUGACCUGCCCUCAGCUCUGGGAUAAGCCUGGGAAACCGGGUCUAAUACCGGAUAUGACUCCAUGACGCAUGUUGUGGGGUGGAAAGCCUUGUGCGGCUGAGGAUGGGCCCGCGGCCUAUCAGCUUGUUGGUGGGGUGAUGGCCUACCAAGGCGACGACGGGUAGCCGGCCUGAGAGGGCGACCGGCCACACUGGGACUGAGACACGGCCCAGACUCCUACGGGAGGCAGCAGUGGGGAAUCUUGCGCAAUGGGCGAAAGCCUGACGCAGCGACGCCGCGUGAGGGAUGACGGCCUCGG
Molecule: ribosomal RNA, 391 nt
Filed under: uncultured bacterium
Lineage: Bacteria
Description: bacterial SSU rRNA
Rfam family: Bacterial small subunit ribosomal RNA
Source: RNAcentral